This 74-nucleotide transfer RNA is filed under the name Vulcanimicrobiota bacterium. Its description in RNAcentral is "tRNA-Gln". It matches the Rfam family "tRNA". From Rfam's summary of the family: Transfer RNA (tRNA) molecules are approximately 80 nucleotides in length. Their secondary structure includes four short double-helical elements and three loops (D, anti-codon, and T loops). The record is from RNAcentral. Lineage: Bacteria; Bacillati; Vulcanimicrobiota.
UCCCGGUUCGUCUAACGGUAGGACAGCAGGCUCUGAACCUGCUUAUCGUGGUUCGAAUCCAUGACCGGGAGCCA